GUGUGAACUCAGGAGGAAAUUGAAACUUCUUAGUUCUUACAAGGUUACACUGCCCAGAGGGAGCCAUGGCUGCAGAGAACCCCAUGGAAAGUCUGCAGGAGGAAGUGACAUGUCCCAUCUGUCUGGAGUAUUUUAAGGACCCAGUGAUUACAAACUGUGGGCACAAUUUCUGCCGAGCCUGCAUCAGCCAGUGCUGGGAGGGACCUGACACAGCCACCUCCUGCCCUCAGUGCAGAGAAACUGUGCAACAGGAAAACCUCAGGUCCAACAGGCAGCUGGCAAACAUGGUAGAAAUCACCAAUCGGCUGAGUUUACAGGCAAAUAAGGCAGUGAAGGGAGCAGAAGGAGAUGGGGUGUGUGGGGAACACCAAGAAGCUCUGAAACUGUUCUGCAAAGAGGAUGAAACUUCGAUCUGUCUGGUUUGCCAGCUGUCCUGGGCUCACAGAGCUCACACGGUGGUUCCCAUAGAGGAGGCUGCCCAGGAGUACAAGGAAAAACUUCAGGCCCAUUUGAAGACUCUGAGAGAAGAGAGAGAAAAACUGCUGGAAUCAAAAGUGACUGGAGAAGGGAAAAGCUGGGAGUAUCUGAUACAGACACAAACCGAGAGGCAGAAGAUUGUGUCUGAAUUUCAGCAACUGCGGCAGUUCCUGGAGGAACAAGAGCGACUCCUGCUGGGCCAGCUGGACAAGUUGGACGAGGAGAUUGUGUGGAUCCAGAAUGAAAAUGUCAGUAAAUUCUCUGAGGAGAUUUCCCAUCUCAGUGAGCUGAUCAGUGAGCUGGAGGGGAAGUGUCAGAAGCCAGCAAGUGAAUUCCUGCAGGAUGUCAGAAGCACCUUGAGCAGGUGUGAGAAGAGGAAGUUCCAGCAGCCUGAGGAGAUUUCUCCUGAACUGGAAGUGCGGGUCAGUGGUUACUUCCAGAAAACUAUUGCGCUAUUGGAGACUCUAAGGAAGUUCAAAGACACUCUGCCAUCUGAACUGGAGCCAAAAAGAGGGGAACCACUUGGAGCACACAGACGGGCGAAUGUGACUCUGGAUCCAGACACGGCUCAGCCUGACCUCAUUCUGUCUACGGAUUGGAAGAGUGUGAGAUGGGAAUACAAAUGGCAGGAUCUUCCCCACAACCCUGAGAGAUUUGAUACUGCGCUCUGUGUGCUGGGCUGUGAGGGAUUCACCGCGGGGAGACAUUGCUGGGAGGUGGAGGUGGGGGAUGGGGAACGCUGGGCUGUGGGGGUAGCCAGAGAGUCUGUGAGGAGGAAGGGGGUGAUCAGCCUCAGCCCUGAGGGGGGGAUCUGGGCUGUGGAGCGAUGGUGGGGUCAGUUCCGGGCUCUCACCUCCCCUGAGACCCCCCUGCCAUGGCACCAGGCCCCCAGCAGGAUCCGGGUUUGUCUGGACUGUGACCAGGGGCAGGUGACAUUUAUCGAUGUUGGUGACGAGGCCCCGAUCUUCACUUUCCCGCCGGGCUCCGUCCCUGGAGAGAGAAUCCGACCCUGGCUCUGGGUGGGGCCAGGAUCCCAGCUCAGACUGUGUCCCUGAGACACAGGGUGGGGUGUCAGGGUGUGUGUGUGUGUGUAAUAUCCCACUGGGGGUCCUGAGAUCAGCCUCUCUAGCCUCACAGUCUCUGUGACCCUGGAAGUUGCUUCGGGUCUCAACUCUGUGCAGCCUCCUGACUGUCAAACCAUAGAGAGCAUUCAGUGAGCGAGGUAGAGAAGCCAAUCUCAUUGCCCUAGAAAAAAAAGGCUGAUCACCCACUGGGGGGCAGCUCCUUUUCCCCCAUCCCUCGGCCGCCCUGCCAGGGGUGGGCCCCGCCAAUCAGCUCCUCAGUAUCCCCUCCAGAGCCUCCCACCCACCACCAUCAGGUGUUUAGUGGCAUGCCGAAGGCGAUGGAUGGGGCAGACCUGGGCAAUGCAUGGCCCAGAUGCCGCCAGUGGAAGGACCGGCACCAGCCCCUGCCAGGCCAGCCGCUGAGACACUGCUCUGCAUCCCUGUGUGGCAGCUGCCUGAGAAAGCCUGGCUGGGGAGGUGAUUUCUCGUCUCUACCUGGGCUCAGCUGCCAGAGGUUUGGCACCCGAGCCCAGGUAGGGAGCAGAAGUGGCCUUUCCAGUCAGACUCUCUCAGGCAACCGCCCCAGCAAGAGGGGCUGGUGUUAAAAGGCGUCUUCUUCCUGCUCCUCCCCGGGCUCCUGCCCGCCAGAGACAGAGGCAGAACAUGCCGUAAGGAGGAGUCAAUGAAGCGGGAGGAAAAUGCACACAUGCACCCCGCAGGUAGCAUGGGGCCGGGAGAGCGUGGUGGCCCCGAGGCUGGGUGCGGGGGCACGAGACCCGCUCUUUAGAUCAUGCCCCCCCCACUACAAGGAGACACCAGUUGAAUAUGGAGCACCCUGGGGGAGGGAGUGAGAAGGGGUGGAGUGGGGGGGUGGGGCAUAGGAUGGAGUGGGGGGGUCGGGCACCCUCCAGAAAAUCUAGAAGUCGGUGCCUAAGUAGACAAGCCGAUCUCAUCACUGCCCCAGGAAUUGUGCAGUCUGUUUGCCACUGUUCUCUAUGGUUCAGGAGGACUCUGGGGAUCCUGGGUCAGACAGUGACACUGAGACAUGAGGGGGAACAGCCCACUGGGCAUGGAAAAAUGGGUUUCUCUAGCCAAGUUAUCCUAGCCCCUAUGGCCUGGAGGACUCCAGUCUACCCAGCCAUCUGGUCUCUUAGCUCUAUGAGCCCUGGAAGCUCCUCCCCACUCCCUCCUUGCAGCACCAUGGAUGGAGGGGAGAGGGGCAGGGAAGGGCCAGUGGAAUUACAGGAGGAGCAGAGGGGCAGAGGUGGGGGCUGAGCAAGGGGUAGAAUUAAGAGCCGGACUGCGGACAGGCAGGUGUGGGAUGGAGGGACACAGAUUUAAUUAACUGUGGUUUUGGGGAGAAGCUGGCCCAAGAGGGAAACCCCUGGAAACACAGGGGCUGAGGGAUUGGCUGGCUGGUAUGCAUGAGGCAGGAAGCCAGGAGAAGCAGUCGUGAGCCUCGUCUCAGCAGGAAACUGAGAGACAGAACUUGCUUCAGGCACAGGGUCCCCUGGAAAGGCAAACGUGCAUUUCUGAGUAAGGAAACUGCCGGCUGCUGUUUGUUUCUACUGUGUUCAGAGCACAGGAAUGUGCGGACAUUGUUUGUAAAUAAUAAAGAUGGCACCAAA
Dermochelys coriacea (leatherback sea turtle) is the source of this 3169-nucleotide RNA transcript. It is a transcript of the gene named zinc finger protein RFP-like, with no coding region annotated. NCBI's taxonomy places the organism in Eukaryota, Metazoa, Chordata, Testudines, Dermochelyidae. The record is from RefSeq and is a predicted model, not a curated record. The transcript is spliced from 8 exons.